RNAcentral lists this ribosomal RNA (238 nucleotides) under Amylomyces rouxii. Its description in RNAcentral is "partial 18S ribosomal RNA". It matches the Rfam family "Eukaryotic small subunit ribosomal RNA", at positions 953 to 1193 of the family's 1831-position model. Lineage: Eukaryota; Fungi; Mucoromycota; Mucoromycetes; Mucorales; Mucoraceae. The record is from RNAcentral.
UUUGACCCGGGACGUUUUCAUUGAUCAAGGUCUAAAGUUAAGGGAUCGAAGACGAUUAGAUACCGUCGUAGUCUUAACCACAAACUAUGCCGACUAGAGAUUGGGCGUGUUUAUUAUGACUCGCUCAGCAUCUUAGCGAAAGUAAAGUUUUUGGGUUCUGGGGGGAGUAUGGGACGCAAGGCUGAAACUUAAAGGAAUUGACGGAAGGGCACCACCAGGAGUGGAGCCUGCGGCUUAA